This 207-nucleotide ribosomal RNA is filed under the name uncultured bacterium. RNAcentral describes it as "partial 16S ribosomal RNA". It matches the Rfam family "Bacterial small subunit ribosomal RNA", at positions 568 to 774 of the family's 1533-position model. The record is from RNAcentral.
CGCGUAGGCGGUUAUUAAAGUUAGAUGUGAAAUACUUGGGCUUAACCUGAGGGCUGCAUCUAAAACUAAGUAACUAGAGUUCAGUAGAGGAAAGUGGAAUUCUCGGUGUAGCAGUGAAAUGCGUAGAUAUCGGGAGGAACACCAGUGGCGAAGGCGGCUUUCUGGACUGAAACUGACGCUAAAGUGCGAAGGCGUGGGUAGCAAACA